GAUCCUGGCUCAGGACGAACGCUGGCGGCGUGCCUAAUACAUGCAAGUAGGACGCACAGUUUAUACCGUAGCUUGCUACACCAUAGACUGUGAGUUGCGAACGGGUGAGUAACGCGUAGGUAACCUGCCUAUUAGAGGGGGAUAACUAUUGGAAACGAUAGCUAAUACCGCAUAACAGUAUGUAACACAUGUUAGAUGCUUGAAAGAUGCAAUUGCAUCGCUAGUAGAUGG
RNAcentral lists this ribosomal RNA (231 nucleotides) under uncultured bacterium. RNAcentral describes it as "partial 16S ribosomal RNA". It matches the Rfam family "Bacterial small subunit ribosomal RNA", at positions 15 to 228 of the family's 1533-position model. The record is from RNAcentral.